UACGGAGGGAGCUAGCGUUGUUCGGAAUUACUGGGCGUAAAGCGCGCGUAGGCGGUUACUCAAGUCAGAGGUGAAAGCCCGGGGCUCAACCCCGGAACUGCCUUUGAAACUAGGUGACUAGAAUCUUGGAGAGGUCAGUGGAAUUCCGAGUGUAGAGGUGAAAUUCGUAGAUAUUCGGAAGAACACCAGUGGCGAAGGCGACUGACUGGACAAGUAUUGACGCUGAGGUGCGAAAGCGUGGGGAGCAAACAGG
RNAcentral lists this ribosomal RNA (253 nucleotides) under uncultured bacterium. Its description in RNAcentral is "partial 16S ribosomal RNA". It matches the Rfam family "Bacterial small subunit ribosomal RNA", at positions 524 to 776 of the family's 1533-position model. RNAcentral also lists the same sequence under 1 other name. The record is from RNAcentral.